RNAcentral lists this ribosomal RNA (346 nucleotides) under uncultured bacterium. RNAcentral's name for it is "partial 16S ribosomal RNA". It matches the Rfam family "Bacterial small subunit ribosomal RNA", at positions 338 to 681 of the family's 1533-position model. The record is from RNAcentral.
CCUACGGGAGGCUGCAGUGAGGAAUAUUGGUCAAUGGGCGCGAGCCUGAACCAGCCAAGUAGCGUGAAGGAUGACUGCCCUACGGGUUGUCAACUUCUUUUAUAAAGGAAUAAAGUGAGGCACGUGUGCCUUUUUGUAUGUACUUUAUGAAUAAGGAACGGCUAACUCCGUGCCAGCAGCCGCGGUAAUACGGAGGAUCCGAGCGUUGUCCGGAUUUAUUGGGGUUAAAGGGAGCGUAGAGGGGUUGUUAAGUCCGUUGUGACAGUUUGCGGCCCCACCGUAAAAUUGCACUUGAUACUGGCAGUCUUGAGUACAGUUGAGGUAGGCGGAAUUCGUGGUGUAGCGG